AGUGAACGCUGGCGGUAGGCCUAACACAUGCAAGUCGAACGGCAGCACCGUAAGAGCUUGCUCUUACGGUUGGCGAGUGGCGGACGGGUGAGGAAAAAAUCGGAAUCUACUCUUUCGUGGGGGAUAACGUAGGGAAACUUACGCUAAUACCGCAUACGACCUACUGGUGAAAGCAGGGGAUCUUCGGACCUUGUGCGAUUGAAUGAGCCGAUGUCGGAUUAGCUAGUUGGCGGGGUAAAGGCCCACCAAGGCGACGAUCCGUAGCUGGUCUGAGAGGAUGAUCAGCCACACUGGAACUGAGACACGGUCCAGACUCCUACGGGAGGCAGCAGUGGGGAAUAUUGGACAAUGGGCGCAAGCCUGAUCCAGCCAUACCGCGUGGGUGAAGAAGGCCUUCGGGUUGUAAAGCCCUUUUGUUGGGAAAGAAAAGCAGCAGGUUAAUACCCCGCUGUUCUGACGGUACCCAAAGAAUAAGCACCGGCUAACUUCGUG
This 492-nucleotide ribosomal RNA is filed under the name uncultured bacterium. Its description in RNAcentral is "partial 16S ribosomal RNA". It matches the Rfam family "Bacterial small subunit ribosomal RNA", at positions 29 to 507 of the family's 1533-position model. The record is from RNAcentral.